CUUUUAUUACAGAUGACUCCGGUCCACAACAAGAAAGCAUUCCAGGACGGAGGGUGUGUCUGGAAGCCCUGUCCGUCAGUAGACAUCACUGCCUCCACCACCUGCAUAUGAGUCAACACCACACAGGAAACCAGCUGGUCGCCCCGGGGCUGGAUUGGUCUAUUGUAACGCAAAAGCUCGGCCUGUCACGUCAUCUUGGGACCCAGUUGAAGCAACUUUUCCUGACAAGCCCGGAGGUUCGACCGGAGGUACUGCCAUCCGUCGCAUGCUA
Molecule: long non-coding RNA, 271 nt
Organism: Perca fluviatilis (European perch)
Lineage: Eukaryota; Metazoa; Chordata; Actinopteri; Perciformes; Percidae
Exons: 4
Source: RefSeq, a predicted model, not a curated record